Molecule: long non-coding RNA, 878 nt
Organism: Dicentrarchus labrax (European seabass)
Lineage: Eukaryota; Metazoa; Chordata; Actinopteri; Moronidae
Exons: 2
Source: RefSeq, a predicted model, not a curated record
UCCGAGCAAAGACUGUAAAGUCAAUUUUCUCAUAUUUCAUUACUGAGGAGUUGAAUUUGUUUCAGACUAAGAUGGGAAACAGCACGAGAGAGGGACUGAGAGUUGUUGUGAUAUAAAAAGCUCAAUACCCAGGAGCUGUGAAACAACCUGGCAUCUUCUCCAACGGUAAUUAUUUUGGGACGUUUUCAAAGGGACAGUGACACAUUUUCUGUCUGCAUCAUAAAGACUGUCCAGCCACUGAACACGACCCAGUGAUUUGCAUCCCUCUUCCAAAAUGUUUUAAUUCUUGCAGCUCUCUGUUCUGGAUGAACACGGUCAAACAAAGGCCACAGAGGCCAACUUUCCCUUCUGUGGCAUACGUGAUUCCAAAAAUACCAUGUCAAAAACAUUUCCACCUGCUAGGAUAUGAAGUGGGGUUGUGUGUCCCAGAAGAGUGAAGAGGAGCGCGUUGAGGGGCCUUUUCCAAACCUGUGCCACCCCCGCUGCCACCUCUACCCCAGGCAAGCUGCCAGAGCAGCUCAAGGCUCAGAGCUGCACUGAGUCGCCAUGGCAAGGCUUAAUGUUCCAGGUUCUUCUGCCCUCAGGGCAUCCUCCCAUACACAACCCAACAAACAAAAACACACUUUGAGAGCUGCACGUCUGCCUCUGUCUGGGCAGGGCAAGGUCCUCCAAACUCUUAAAAUGCUCCACUUGGCUUUGCUCUCCUUGUCUCACAAAACCGGGAUAAUUCAAACAGACUGAAUGUCCAAAUUUAAAAAUGCUAAUAACUCUAAUAUGAUCCUUGUCAGAUGUGAUGUGAGUGUAAAUUCAUAAUAAUAAACAUGCUGCUUACAAUCCCAAUCUAUGCAUCCACAAAAUAAAUGUAUAGUUAACAAACA